RNAcentral lists this ribosomal RNA (1008 nucleotides) under uncultured bacterium. RNAcentral's name for it is "bacterial SSU rRNA". It matches the Rfam family "Bacterial small subunit ribosomal RNA", at positions 12 to 1009 of the family's 1533-position model. The record is from RNAcentral.
UUUGAUUCUGGCUCAGAACGAACGCUGGCGGCGUGGAUAAGACAUGCAAGUCGAGCGCUGAUUUCAGGGUAGCAAUAUUCUGGAGUCGGAGCGGCGCAAGGGUGCGUAACACGUGGGCAAUCUGCCGUGAAGUUGGGGAUAACUCGCUGAAAGGCGAGCUAAUACCGAAUGUGAUCACCGGGGGACAUCCCCUGGGGAUCAAAGUUGGGGACCGUAAGGCCUGACGCUUCACGAUGAGCCCGCGGCCUAUCAGCUAGUUGGUGAGGUAACGGCUCACCAAGGCUAAGACGGGUAGCUGGUCUGAGAGGACGACCAGCCACACUGGAACUGAGACACGGUCCAGACACCUACGGGUGGCAGCAGUCGAGAAUUUUUCACAAUGGGCGAAAGCCUGAUGGAGCGACGCCGCGUGGGGGAUGAAGGCCUUCGGGUCGUAAACCCCUGUCAUUUGCGAACAAACCUUCCGGCCUAACACGCCGGGAGCUGAUUGUAGCGAAAGAGGAAGGGACGGCUAACUCUGUGCCAGCAGCCGCGGUAAUACAGAGGUCCCAAGCGUUGUUCGGAUUCACUGGGCGUAAAGGGUGCGUAGGCGGUGGGGUAAGUCUGAUGUGAAAGCUCGCAGCUCAACUACGAAAUGGCAUUGGAAACUACCCCGCUAGAGGAGUGGAGGGGGGACUGGAAUACUUGGUGUAGCAGUGAAAUGCGUAGAUAUCAAGUGGAACACCAGUGGCGAAAGCGAGUCCCUGGACACCUCCUGACGCUGAGGCACGAAAGCUAGGGGAGCAAACAGGAUUAGAUACCCUGGUAGUCCUAGCUGUAAACGGUGCGCGUUUGCUGUAAAAGGAAUCGACCCCUUUUGUGGCGAAGCUAACGCGUUAAACGCGCGCCUGGGGAGUACGGUCGCAGAUUAAAACUCAAGAAAUUGACGGGGCUGCACAGCGUGAGUAUGUGGCUCAUCGAUGCACGCGAGAACGUACCUGGCCUUGAMMAUGCACGUUGGUWAAARCC